Molecule: ribosomal RNA, 253 nt
Filed under: uncultured bacterium
Lineage: Bacteria
Description: partial 16S ribosomal RNA
Rfam family: Bacterial small subunit ribosomal RNA
Source: RNAcentral
UACGUAGGGGGCAAGCGUUGUCCGGAUUUAUUGGGCGUAAAGAGCGUGUAGGCGGCUUGGUAGGUCCGCUGUGAAAACUCGAGGCUCAACCUCGAGAUGUCGGCGGAAACCACUUGGCUAGAGUCCGGAAGAGGAGAGCGGAAUUCCUGGUGUAGCGGUGAAAUGCGCAGAUAUCAGGAAGAACACCUAUGGCGAAGGCAGCUCUCUGGGACGGUACUGACGCUGAGACGCGAAAGCGUGGGGAGCGAACAGG